AGUGAACGCUGGCGGCAGGCCUAACACAUGCAAGUCGAGCGGCAGCGGGUCCUUCGGGAUGCCGGCGAGCGGCGGACGGGUGAGGAAUGCGUCGGAACCUGCCUUUUUGUGGGGGAUAACGCAGGGAAACUUACGCUAAUACCGCAUACGACCUACGGGUGAAAGUGGGGGACCGCAAGGCCUCACGCAGAUAGAUGAGCCGACGUCGGAUUAGCUAGUUGGCGGGGUAAAGGCCCACCAAGGCGACGAUCCGUAGCUGGUCUGAGAGGAUGAUCAGCCACACUGGAACUGAGACACGGUCCAGACUCCUACGGGAGGCAGCAGUGGGGAAUAUUGGACAAUGGGCGCAAGCCUGAUCCAGCCAUGCCGCGUGUGUGAAGAAGGCCUUCGGGUUGUAAAGCACUUUUGUCCGGAAAGAAAUCCUUUCGGCUAAUACCCGGCGUGGAUGACGGUACCGGAAGAAUAAGCACCGGCUAACUUCGUG
Molecule: ribosomal RNA, 484 nt
Filed under: uncultured bacterium
Lineage: Bacteria
Description: partial 16S ribosomal RNA
Rfam family: Bacterial small subunit ribosomal RNA
Source: RNAcentral